AACGAACGCUGGCGGCAUGCCUAACACAUGCAAGUCGAACGAGACCUUCGGGUCUAGUGGCGCACGGGUGCGUAACGCGUGGGAACCUGCCCUUAGGUUCGGAAUAACUCCCCGAAAGGGGUGCUAAUACCGGAUAAUGUCUUCGGACCAAAGAUUUAUCGCCUUUGGAUGGGCCCGCGUUGGAUUAGCUAGUUGGUAGGGUAAAAGCCUACCAAGGCGACGAUCCAUAGCUGGUCUGAGAGGAUGAUCAGCCAAACUGGGACUGAGACACGGCCCAGACUCCUACGGGAGGCAGCAGUGGGGAAUAUUGGACAAUGGGCGAAAGCCUGAUCCAGCAAUGCCGCGUGAGUGAUGAAGGCCUUAGGGUUGUAAAGCUCUUUUACCCGGGAUGAUAAUGACAGUACCGGGAGAAUAAGCUCCGGCUAACUCCGUG
This 433-nucleotide ribosomal RNA is filed under the name uncultured bacterium. Its description in RNAcentral is "partial 16S ribosomal RNA". It matches the Rfam family "Bacterial small subunit ribosomal RNA", at positions 29 to 507 of the family's 1533-position model. The record is from RNAcentral.